This 753-nucleotide small RNA is filed under the name Histoplasma ohiense. RNAcentral describes it as "hypothetical lncRNA". Lineage: Eukaryota; Fungi; Ascomycota; Eurotiomycetes; Onygenales; Ajellomycetaceae. The record is from RNAcentral.
GUUUAACUACCGCGUAGUCGGUUACUAUUUUUAUUCGUUUUCAUUUUCAUUUUCUUUUUCUUUUCCUUGCCUUUCCUUUCCUUUUCUUUUUGACGCGAGCGAGCGAGCGGGCGGGUGGGGGAAAGGGGGACAAACAAAAAGCCAGACAACUCCUUUUUAAUUUCUUAAAUUACCCGCCGCUAUGCCAGCUAGCUCGAUCAUUGAAUACAAUGGAAAUAUCUCCUCCAUUCACCAGUCAGCAGCAUCAGGUCGCUAGACGUGAGUUGCCCUCGGGGAGGAGAGGGGGAAGGCGUGGGGGAAGUUGGAACGAUAGAUUAGCCCAGAGACUCCCUCCCUAGCUGAUAACUAGAAAAGGGACAUGGGACAAGGAUGGAUGGUUGGGGAUAUUGGAUGGUUAUUUUUACUUCUAUUUCUAUUUUCCUGAUAUUAUCACCUUCUUCAUUUGGAUUUUAGUGAUUUGACCUUUUCUUUUUCUUGUUUUGGAUGUUCCUACUUACUUAACUAGCUUGCGCACUUCAUUUAACUACGCAGUCGCUUGCCGUUGCUGGAGAUGACGCUCAUUCAUUGGCGGUAUCACAGAUACUAGUAGUUAUUCUCUAUAUACUCUCAUCAGUGAAAUGGUGCUGAUCAAACCGGACUCAGUUAUUUGGUCAAAUUGAUGUAUGUAGGAUCGAUCAUAAAGGGAAUUCGCAACGGAAAAAAGAUUGAAAAUAAAUUGCCCCCCCAAAUAAAUUUUAAAGGAAAAGGCCAACG